GGUUCCUCGUCGCGGCUGUGGUGUGGUGUGGCGUGGCGUGUGCCGGGGUGGAUGAGCCGGUGGCGUGGUCGGCGAAAGUGCCGUUGCCGUGCUUUACCAGCGAGGUGUGCGUUCUGGCAACAGCGUGGGAUUGUGGUGGUGCGGGAUCAGGCUUCGCCGCUGGAAUUUUGUGUGUGGCUGGCAUCGAGGCACGAAUUCCCUCCCCCGCAGCGCACAGUGAGGCGGGCUGCUGGUUCUGUGGGGUCAGGUUGCCCUGCUGGGGGCCAUUCUGAGUGUGGUCGUGUUUCCCGUAGCCUUUCUCCAUUGGCUUCUGUGGUGCUGCGCUGGUGGUGGCCCUAGUUGCAUUAUCUCCACCGCUACAGCUCCUGAACUGCGCUGCUGUUUUGGCUCUGCCUCCUUUUGUAAAUUGGGUUUUGUUUUACUUAUUUCCUGGUUUGAGUCCACCCAUCGCCGUUAUCUUCUUUAAUUUUAGGUUUAAUUAGUUGUGAUUAAAUUCUUUCUUUAUUUUCUGUUUUUGUGUAUUAUAUUUUUGGUGUAAUAUAUUUCAAUUGUGUUCCGUUAAUACUGUUCAUUCUGUUUAUUUCCUUAUUAUUUGAUCAUGUGCCUGCGUGUGUGGGUGUUCUUUUUAUAGACAGCUGUAUGAAGCAUUGUGGCCUGUUUUAAGCAUUCUUUUCUUUUGUGGACAGGUGCUGCGGGCUCAAGGUGGCGACCCAAUCCUGGUGGUGGGUUUUUCCUCACAGAUCUGCGUGUGUGUGGUGUCACAGGUGUUUUAGUUUCUUCCUCCCUUCAUGAUUUUGAGUUGGGCCGCCACGGUAAGCCCCAGCUCUGUUCCCUUUUAGUGCCACCUACAGGUCAAAGUAGGAACAUGACCCACAG
This is a non-coding RNA of Doryrhamphus excisus (bluestripe pipefish), 876 nucleotides long. Lineage: Eukaryota; Metazoa; Chordata; Actinopteri; Syngnathiformes; Syngnathidae. The record is from RefSeq and is a predicted model, not a curated record.